RNAcentral lists this ribosomal RNA (550 nucleotides) under uncultured bacterium. Its description in RNAcentral is "bacterial SSU rRNA". It matches the Rfam family "Bacterial small subunit ribosomal RNA", at positions 355 to 896 of the family's 1533-position model. The record is from RNAcentral.
UAGGGAAUCUUCGGCAAUGGGGGCAACCCUGACCGAGCAACGCCGCGUGAGUGAAGAAGGUUUUCGGAUCGUAAAGCUCUGUUGUAAGAGAAGAACGUGUGUGAGAGUGGAAAGUUCACACAGUGACGGUAACUUACCAGAAAGGGACGGCUAACUACGUGCCAGCAGCCGCGGUAAUACGUAGGUCCCGAGCGUUGUCCGGAUUUAUUGGGCGUAAAGCGAGCGCAGGCGGUUUAAUAAGUCUGAAGUUAAAGGCUGUGGCUCAACCAUAGUUCGCUUUGGAAACUGUCAAACUUGAGUGCAGAAGGGGAGAGUGGAAUUCCAUGUGUAGCGGUGAAAUGCGUAGAUAUAUGGAGGAACACCGGUGGCGAAAGCGGCUCUCUGGUCUGUAACUGACGCUGAGGCUCGAAAGCGUGGGGAGCAAACAGGAUUAGAUACCCUGGUAGUCCACGCCGUAAACGAUGAGUGCUAGGUGUUAGGCCCUUUCCGGGGCUUAGUGCCGCAGCUAACGCAUUAAGCACUCCGCCUGGGGAGUACGACCGCAAGGUUG